This 1035-nucleotide ribosomal RNA is filed under the name Triticum aestivum (bread wheat). RNAcentral describes it as "partial small subunit ribosomal RNA". Lineage: Eukaryota; Viridiplantae; Streptophyta; Magnoliopsida; Poales; Poaceae. The record is from RNAcentral.
AUGGCGGAUCCUCCUGCUCCCCACCGCGGAAUCCCGGACGAGAUCGCCAUCUGGGAGAUCCUCGUCCGCCUGCCCCCCAAAUCUCUCAUCCGCUGCCGCGCCGUCUGCCCCGCCUGGCGCCGCGCCACCUCCACCCGCGACUUCCUCCUCGACCACCACGCCCGCCCGCCAGCCCGCCCUCCCCCUUCUCUGCAGCUUAGAAGACGACGACGAGGACGACGCGUCUCUAUACAUCACCCCCUUCGACCGCCGGAGGCACGACUUGACGCCGCCUCCAACUUCUGUCCAAGACUAAGUGCCUCCUGUGAUGGCCUCCUCGUCCUCUCCUUCCGCAACAUGAUCUCAUAUGGCUGCCAAUUCUCCAUCUGCAACCCUGCCACUCGUCAGUAUGCUCCCCUCCCGCUGGAUUAUGGCCCUACUGUCGAGUACACAAUCUUGGGGAUCUACCCGCACAUCCCUACCGGCGAGUACCGACUAUUGCUUCACAGGGUCCAAAUGUUGAGGUCCGAUGGCUGUUAUGUCUUCUCGUUAGGCUCCGGCCAGCAGCUGAGGUACAUAGGCAGGCCCGAUGCGGGGAAACUGAUAGGCUCCCCCAUAUCUGCCUUGUUCCGUGGUAGCCUGCAUUGGCACUCACCAUCAACAGGCAGCAUGAUAAUGGUAUUCGACACCACAUCUGAGUUGUUCCGGCAGAUGCGCUCUCCGGUUGCCCCUGGCCAUGCUGACAUGUUUGAUCUUGGUGACAUGCUUGGGCUCUGCAGUCAUGACAGUGAAUGGACAAAAAUCGGGGUCCAUGAUAAGCUCGACAGCGAUUGGGAUGUGGUGGUCGGUUCUUGGGAUGGUGAUGUCGUCCUGCUGGUUACCAUUGAUGGCAGCAACAUGCUAUUUCAGGUUGACAUCAAUGGCAAGUUGGUUGCGACUAUCGCCUGUUGCAGAGACCUCUACUCAGCUCAUCUUUGGCUCAAACAAACUCUAGCUUUGCAUACGUUCUUUCCGACACUUGAGGGUUAUGCCGUGAAUGCUUCGCCAUUUAUCUGA